GGGCCUAUAGCUCAGUUGGUUAGAGUCCCUGACUCAUAAUCAGGUUGUCCCAGGUUCAAGUCCUGGUGGGCCCACAA
This 77-nucleotide transfer RNA is filed under the name Marinilabiliales bacterium. Its description in RNAcentral is "tRNA-Met". It matches the Rfam family "tRNA". Rfam says of the family: Transfer RNA (tRNA) molecules are approximately 80 nucleotides in length. Their secondary structure includes four short double-helical elements and three loops (D, anti-codon, and T loops). Further hydrogen bonds mediate the characteristic L-shaped molecular structure. tRNAs have two regions of fundamental functional importance: the anti-codon, which is responsible for specific mRNA codon recognition, and the 3' end, to which the tRNAs corresponding amino acid is attached (by aminoacyl-tRNA synthetases). tRNAs cope with the degeneracy of the genetic code in two manners: having more than one tRNA (with a specific anti-codon) for a particular amino acid; and 'wobble' base-pairing, i.e. permitting non-standard base-pairing at the 3rd anti-codon position. The record is from RNAcentral. Lineage: Bacteria; Pseudomonadati; Bacteroidota; Bacteroidia; Marinilabiliales.